CGCGCUAACUGAAGAGAUCAGCGUGUUUAUUGACCACUUGUUGGUAUCCUGGACCGAAAGGUUUGGGCAAUCCGCUGAAACUUCUUCGUGAUUGGGAUUGAGCUUUGUAAUUAUCGCUCAUGAACGAGGAAUUCCCAGUAAGCGCGAGUCAUCAGCUCGCGUUGAUUACGUCCCUGCCCUUUGUACAC
This 188-nucleotide ribosomal RNA is filed under the name uncultured eukaryote. Its description in RNAcentral is "partial 18S ribosomal RNA". It matches the Rfam family "Eukaryotic small subunit ribosomal RNA", at positions 1494 to 1667 of the family's 1831-position model. The record is from RNAcentral.